Molecule: ribosomal RNA, 1554 nt
Filed under: Salmonella enterica
Lineage: Bacteria; Pseudomonadati; Pseudomonadota; Gammaproteobacteria; Enterobacterales; Enterobacteriaceae
Description: bacterial SSU rRNA
Rfam family: Bacterial small subunit ribosomal RNA
Source: RNAcentral
AAAUUGAAGAGUUUGAUCAUGGCUCAGAUUGAACGCUGGCGGCAGGCCUAACACAUGCAAGUCGAACGGUAACAGGAAGCAGCUUGCUGCUUUGCUGACGAGUGGCGGACGGGUGAGUAAUGUCUGGGAAACUGCCUGAUGGAGGGGGAUAACUACUGGAAACGGUGGCUAAUACCGCAUAACGUCGCAAGACCAAAGAGGGGGACCUUCGGGCCUCUUGCCAUCAGAUGUGCCCAGAUGGGAUUAGCUGGUUGGUGAGGUAACGGCUCACCAAGGCGACGAUCCCUAGCUGGAGUGAGAGGAAGACCAGCCACACUGGAACUAAGACACGGUCCAGACUCCGACGGGAGCCAGCGGUGGGGAAUAUGGCAUAAUGGGCGCAAGCCUGAUGCAGCCAUGCCGCGUGUAUGAAGAAGGCCUUCGGGUUGUAAAGUACUUUCAGCGGGGAGGAAGGUGUUGUGGUUAAUAACCGCAGCAAUUGACGUUACCCGCAGAAGAAGCACCGGCUAACUCCGUGCCAGCAGCCGCGGUAAUACGGAGGGUGCAAGCGUUAAUCGGAAUUACUGGGCGUAAAGCGCACGCAGGCGGUCUGUCAAGUCGGAUGUGAAAUCCCCGGGCUCAACCUGGGAACUGCAUUCGAAACUGGCAGGCUUGAGUCUUGUAGAGGGGGGUAGAAUUCCAGGUGUAGCGGUGAAAUGCGUAGAGAUCUGGAGGAAUACCGGUGGCGAAGGCGGCCCCCUGGACAAAGACUGACGCUCAGGUGCGAAAGCGUGGGGAGCAAACAGGAUUAGAUACCCUGGUAGUCCACGCCGUAAACGAUGUCUACUUGGAGGUUGUGCCCUUGAGGCGUGGCUUCCGGAGCUAACGCGUUAAGUAGACCGCCUGGGGAGUACGGCCGCAAGGUUAAAACUCAAAUGAAUUGACGGGGGCCCGCACAAGCGGUGGAGCAUGUGGUUUAAUUCGAUGCAACGCGAAGAACCUUACCUGGUCUUGACAUCCACAGAAGAAUCCAGAGAUGGAUUUGUGCCUUCGGGAACUGUGAGACAGGUGCUGCAUGGCUGUCGUCAGCUCGUGUUGUGAAAUGUUGGGUUAAGUCCCGCAACGAGCGCAACCCUUAUCCUUUGUUGCCAGCGAUUAGGUCGGGAACUCAAAGGAGACUGCCAGUGAUAAACUGGAGGAAGGUGGGGAUGACGUCAAGUCAUCAUGGCCCUUACGACCAGGGCUACACACGUGCUACAAUGGCGCAUACAAAGAGAAGCGACCUCGCGAGAGCAAGCGGACCUCAUAAAGUGCGUCGUAGUCCGGAUUGGAGUCUGCAACUCGACUCCAUGAAGUCGGAAUCGCUAGUAAUCGUGGAUCAGAAUGCCACGGUGAAUACGUUCCCGGGCCUUGUACACACCGCCCGUCACACCAUGGGAGUGGGUUGCAAAAGAAGUAGGUAGCUUAACCUUCGGGAGGGCGCUUACCACUUUGUGAUUCAUGACUGGGGUGAAGUCGUAACAAGGUAACCGUAGGGGAACCUGCGGUUGGAUCACCUCCUUACCUGAAAGAAGC